This 299-nucleotide ribosomal RNA is filed under the name uncultured bacterium. Its description in RNAcentral is "partial 16S ribosomal RNA". It matches the Rfam family "Bacterial small subunit ribosomal RNA", at positions 215 to 507 of the family's 1533-position model. The record is from RNAcentral.
GCGCGAUUGGAGCGGCCGAUAUCAGAUUAGGUAGUUGGUGAGGUAAAGGCUCACCAAGCCGACGAUCUGUAGCUGGUUUGAGAGGAUGAUCAGCCACACUGGAACUGAGACACGGUCCAGACUCCUACGGGAGGCAGCAGUGGGGAAUAUUGGACAAUGGGCGCAAGCCUGAUCCAGCCAUGCCGCGUGUGUGAAGAAGGCCUUCGGUUGUAAAGCACUUUCAGCGAGGAGGAAGGGUUAGUAGUUAAUAGCUGCUAAUUUUGACGUUACUCGCAGAAGAAGCACCGGCUAACUCUGUG